RNAcentral lists this ribosomal RNA (728 nucleotides) under Eriococcus sp. 2544. RNAcentral's name for it is "partial 28S ribosomal RNA". It matches the Rfam family "Eukaryotic large subunit ribosomal RNA", at positions 378 to 904 of the family's 3401-position model. Lineage: Eukaryota; Metazoa; Arthropoda; Insecta; Hemiptera; Eriococcidae. The record is from RNAcentral.
GAAGAGAGAGUUCAAUAGUACGUGAAACCGUUCGGGGGUAAACGGACAGAGCCCGUGAAUCCGGGCGGCAGAAUUCAGAAUCGACGGGCGCAAGUCCGUCUAUUUGAUAUUUCUGUCGCCGCGUAUGCACGGACGUCGCGACCUGUUCGACGUCGGUCUUCCCCAGGAACCGUGUUCGAGUUUGCUGUUGGAGUGCGCGUUCGCGUGUGCUUGAACGGCAAAGGCGCGGACUUCUGGCCGACUCGUCGGACAGUAGGUCAACAAGGGUGGCCGGUGUCACCCUCGAGUGACGCCGGUGCCGGUCAGCGACGAAUCUUCGGGCCUCUUUCCGACCCGUCUUGAAACACGGACCAAGGAGUCUAACGUGCGCGCGAGUCGCGGGGUGUCGAGCGUGUCGACGGCCUCACGGUCGCCGGCGCGUUCGUUACGCAACGAAACCCGUACACGUAGAAGGCGUAAUGAAAGUGAAUGGGGAAGAUGGCGUUACCGAGUACACGUUCCACGGUCGCUGGUACCGUGGCCGGUCGCCCGCAUUCCCGGGGCGUCCCAACGGCCCGUCUAGGAUGCGGAUAGUCGUCUUCGCGGGCGGCUGUCGGUCUCUGACGAUCCGGGGCGCACCUAUAGCGUGCACGUUGGUACCCGAAAGAUGGUGAACUAUGCCCGGCCAGGAUGAAGUCAGGGGAAACCCUGAUGGAGGUCCGCAGCGAUUCUGACGUGCAAAUCGAUCG